GAUGAAGAACGCAGCGAAAUGCGAUAAGUAAUGUGAAUUGCAGAAUUCAGUGAAUCAUCGAAUCUUUGAACGCACAUUGCGCCCCCUGGUAUUCCGGGGGGCAUGCCUGUUCGAGCGUCAUUUCACCACUCAAGCCUCGCUUGGUAUUGGGCAACGCGGUCAGCCGCGUGCCUCAAAUCGACCGGCUGGGUCUUCUGUCCCCUAAGCGUUGUGGAAACUAUUCGCUAAAGGGUGCUCGGGAGGCUACGCCGUAAAACAAACCCAUUUCUAAGGUUGACCUCGGAUCAGGUAGGGAUACCCGCUGAACUUAAGCAUAUCAAUAAGCGGAGGA
Molecule: unclassified non-coding RNA, 331 nt
Filed under: soil metagenome
Description: partial contains 5.8S ribosomal RNA, internal transcribed spacer 2, and large subunit ribosomal RNA
Rfam family: 5.8S ribosomal RNA (bases 1-120)
Source: RNAcentral